GACGAACGCUGGCGGCGUGCUUAACACAUGCAAGUCGAACGGAAAGGCCCUGCUUUUGUGGGGUGCUCGAGUGGCGAACGGGUGAGUAACACGUGAGUAACCUGCCCUUGACUUUGGGAUAACUUCAGGAAACUGGGGCUAAUACCGGAUAGGAGCUCCUGCUGCAUGGUGGGGGUUGGAAAGUUUCGGCGGUUGGGGAUUGACUCGCGGCUUAUCAGCUUGUUGGUGGGGUAGUGGCUUACCAAGGCUUUGACGGGUAGCCGGCCUGAGAGGGUGACCGGCUACAUUGGGACUGAGAUACGGCCCAGACUCCUACGGGAGGCAGCAGUGGGGAAUAUUGCACAAUGGGCGGAAGCCUGAUGCAGCAACGCCGCGUGCGGGAUGACGGCCUUCGGGUUGUAAACCGCUUUCGCCUGUGACGAAGCGUGAGUGACGGUAAUGGGUAAAGAAGCACCGGCUAAGUACGUG
RNAcentral lists this ribosomal RNA (468 nucleotides) under uncultured bacterium. Its description in RNAcentral is "partial 16S ribosomal RNA". It matches the Rfam family "Bacterial small subunit ribosomal RNA", at positions 28 to 507 of the family's 1533-position model. The record is from RNAcentral.